Molecule: ribosomal RNA, 915 nt
Filed under: uncultured archaeon
Lineage: Archaea
Description: bacterial SSU rRNA
Rfam family: Archaeal small subunit ribosomal RNA
Source: RNAcentral
UUCCGGUUGAUCCCGCCGGACCUGACUGCUAUCGGAUUGAUACUAAGCCAUGCGAGUCUUUGUAGUAAUACAAGGCAGACGGCUCAGUAACACGUAGUCAACCUACCCUAUGGACAAGAAUAAUCUCGGGAAACUGGGCAUAAUUCUUGAUAGAUCAUAAUGCCUGGAAUGGUUUAUGGUUAAAAUGAUUCGUCGCCAUAGGAUGGGACUGCGGCCUAUCAGCUUGUUGGUGAGGUAAUGGCCCACCAAGGCGAUUACAGGUACGGGCUCUGAGAGGGGAAGCCCGGAGAUGGGUACUGAGACACGGACCCAGGCCCUAUGGGGCGCAGCAGGCGAGAAAACUUUGCAAUGUGCGAAAGCACGACAAGGUUAAUCCGAGUGAUUUCUGCUAAAGAAAUCUUUUGCCAGUCAUAAAACCACUGGCGAAUAAGGGGUGGGCAAGUUCUGGUGUCAGCCGCCGCGGUAAAACCAGCACCUCAAGUGGUCAGGAUGAUUAUUGGGCCUAAAGCAUCCGUAGCCGGCUUUGUUAGUUUUCGGUUAAAUCCAUGUGCUCAACGCAUGGGCUGCCGAAAAUACUGCAUGGCUAGGGAGUGGGAGAGGUAGACGGUACUCAGUAGGAAGGGGUAAAAUCCUUUGAUCUAUUGAUGACCACCUGUGGCGGAGGCGGUCUACCAGAACACGUUCGACGGUGAGGGAUGAAAGCUGGGGGAACAAACCGGAUUAGAUACCCGGGUAGUCCCAGCUGUAAACGAUGCAGACUCGAUGAUGCAUUGGCAUAAUAGCCAGUGCAGUGUCGCAGGGAAGCCGUUAAGUCUGCCGCCUGGGAAGUACGUACGCAAGUAUGAAACUUAAAGGAAUUGGCGGGGGAGCACCACAAGGGGUGAAGCCUGCGGUUCAAUUGGAGUCAACGCCGGA